GGCUUUUUGAGUAUAAUUUAAAGUCUGGCCUGCCCAAUGAAAUUUGAAUGGCCGCAGUAUAUUAACUGUGCGAAGGUAGCAUAAUCAUUAGUUUUUUAAUUGAGAACUUGUAUGAAAGGUUAGAUGAAAAAAAUACUGUCUUUAUUUAAAUUAAUUAGAAAUUUAUUAUUAAGUAAAAAAGCUUAAAUAAAUAUUGAAGACGAGAAGACCCUAUAGAGUUUUAUAUUAAUAUUUUUAAUAAAUUUUUAGUAUUUUAAAAUUAAGAUAUUUUAGUAUUUAAUUGGGGUGAUUAAAAAAUUUAAAAAACUUUUUAAAAAUUUAAACAUUAAUUUAUGAUAAAAUGAUCCUAUAAAAGAGUAAAAGAAAAAAUUACCUUAGGGAUAACAGCGUUAUUUUUUUUAAAGUUCUUAUUAAAAAAAAAGAUUGCGACCUCGAUGUUGGAUUAAAAUAAAUUAUUGGUGUAGAAGCUAAUAAAUUAGGUCUGUUCGACCUUUAAAAUUUUACAUGAUCUGAGUUUAAACCGGUGUGAG
Molecule: ribosomal RNA, 530 nt
Filed under: Hemiliopsis cf. irregularis ARC5134
Lineage: Eukaryota; Metazoa; Arthropoda; Insecta; Coleoptera; Curculionidae
Description: partial 16S large subunit ribosomal RNA
Rfam family: Bacterial large subunit ribosomal RNA (bases 380-530)
Source: RNAcentral